RNAcentral lists this ribosomal RNA (119 nucleotides) under Pteropus alecto (black flying fox). Lineage: Eukaryota; Metazoa; Chordata; Mammalia; Chiroptera; Pteropodidae. The record is from RNAcentral.
GCCUACCACCAAGCCACUCUGAACAUGCCCGAUCUCGUCUGAUCUCAGAAGCUAAGCAGGGUCGGACCUGGUUAGUACUUGGAUGGGAGACCACCUUGGAAUGCCAGGUGCUAUAGGCA